GAAUGUUGACCUCGGAUCAGGUAGGAAUACCCGCUGAACUUAAGCAUAUCAAAAGUCGGGAGGAA
RNAcentral lists this ribosomal RNA (65 nucleotides) under Fusarium thapsinum. RNAcentral describes it as "partial 28S ribosomal RNA". The record is from RNAcentral. Lineage: Eukaryota; Fungi; Ascomycota; Sordariomycetes; Hypocreales; Nectriaceae.